Molecule: ribosomal RNA, 218 nt
Filed under: uncultured bacterium
Lineage: Bacteria
Description: partial 16S ribosomal RNA
Rfam family: Bacterial small subunit ribosomal RNA (bases 1-188)
Source: RNAcentral
UGCGCAGGUGGGUUGGCAAGUUUGAUGUGAAAGCCCCGGGCUUAACCCGGGAAUGGCAUUGAAUACUGCUGAUCUGGAGGAUUGGGAGGGGGGACGUGGAAUUCUUGGUGUAGCAGUGAAAUGCGUAGAUAUCAAGAGGAACACCAGUGGCGAAGGCGAGUCCCUGGACAAUACCUGACACUGAGGCAACGAAAAGCCCAAAGGGGAGACCAAAACGA